AACUCUUACUGGAUGAUGAUUAUUGCAUUCUCAUCCAGUUUCUAUCAGCAGUACUAAAAGCUAGAUGUAACUAUGAAAAGCUUGGUGGUUACAUAAGGAACACUAAAGAAAUUCAAGGCUCCAUGCUGCGACAAAACACUACUGCUUAUCUGGCUGAUUUGGUUCUUCUUCCUUUUCAGGAUCUUCCUCCUCUUCCUCUUUCUUUUUCU
RNAcentral lists this unclassified non-coding RNA (209 nucleotides) under Hevea brasiliensis (rubber tree). Lineage: Eukaryota; Viridiplantae; Streptophyta; Magnoliopsida; Malpighiales; Euphorbiaceae. The record is from RNAcentral.